This 1609-nucleotide long non-coding RNA is filed under the name Canis lupus dingo (dingo). Its description in RNAcentral is "lncRNA (ENSCAFG00020020976.1)". Lineage: Eukaryota; Metazoa; Chordata; Mammalia; Carnivora; Canidae. The record is from RNAcentral.
AUGGCUGGAGAGCCCGGGCCGGGCCCUGCGCACCUGGGCCUCAAGCGGCCUCAGGGCACUGCCAGCCCCUGUACGAGUGAUUAUGACCUGGACCAUAAGCUGUACAGGGAAGAUGUCCCCUACAGUAGGGUGUAUGAAUGCCAAAGGAUCCCUCCACUCAUCAACCGCGUGCCUGUCAGGAUCCGGAGGACCCAGGUGGGCAUGGGGGUCAAAAGCAGCUUCCGUCUUCACACGGGCCCCAGGAAGAGCCACCUGCCCCGGGAGCAAAUAAAGCUCCCGACUGAGGAGCUGCACUCCAUCAGGGGGGAGCUGAGUCAGAUCAAAGCCCAAGUGGACCGUCUAUUGGAGAAUCUGGAGCACAUGGGCCAGCAGAGGGACCAGCUUCCAACUGGGGGCCCGGGACACACUCCCAGGUCAGAGGACAGUGAAGAAAACAGAGGUCCAGAACUCCAGCAGGAGCCCCAGGGCCAGAAGGCCCAUCCAGAAGCAGACAGCUCUGAGGACAGCACAGACCCAAAGGAGGCAGUGAAGAAUCCUGCAUCGGACCAGGAGGGCAGCCAGUAGAAUGGUGGAACCCCUCUGGGCUCCUUCCUGGAUGGCUCCCUUCCUUGCCUCGUGUGGGUUUUUGAAGGCCUCCUGGAGGUGCCUGUGCAGCCCGAAGCCACCCUUCUGGAAGGAGUGCAGUGAAGUGGGGGCCUGGCUCAGCCAAACUAGCCAUGAAGCUUCUCCGUAAUGGUGGCUUUUGGAGGUCAUGUUUUCCGAUGAUACGGGCUGAGGGUGGCCUGCAGCUGCCUAGCAUAAGCCUCCCAUCCUCAUGAAGCUGAGGCCGUCUUGCAAGGGGCCCCAGGUCCCCCUGGGUACACAUCAGCCCCCAGUGACCACAGGUACCGUAGUGGCUGCUCCCCACUCCGAAGGGCCCUGCCAGUUCUGAGUAGGCAGCCAGCACAGUUCCCUCCAGCCACAGUGGCAUACCGGAAACCCUCAUGUUCCUACGGUCCCCCUUCCAGUCUGCACCUGGGCUUUCAGCUCCUCAGUGUGCCCCACAUAAUCCCCUUUGGUUCCAGACUCCCCAUCCACCCUGUAAAGCCAUCCUUCAGAAUAGGGACAUCAUUUUUAUGUUCUGCUCCUGUCUAGUCUCUUGCUAGUGUGAUACUAUGUGUUUCAGAUCUGCUCUGGAAAUAGUAUUGUAUCAAAAGGGAGAAAAUGCACAUUUUCCCCCCUUUUGGGGGUCAGGGGUUCUUGGUAGGGUCAUCAAGCCUCAUUCUGGUCUUUGGGCUGCCUCAGGCCAGGCCUUCCUGGAGAAGCUGAGCAGGCCCCUGCAUCACAGAAGUUCAGCAGUUCCUACUCAGCCAGGGCACAGAAGAGGGGACCAGGCUUCCCUGCCUUCUUCCAAUUCAGACCUGAGCACAAACCCACAGAGCUCAUGAGCCACAUAGGGAAGAUCCUGCUCUUGUGGUCACUCAGGCCAGUUCUCCAUAUGGAAUGAUGGCCAGGCCACAUCUGACUUCCCAACAACCAGCAGCUCUUACUCCUGGAAGUUCAUCUGCCCUUUCCCAGGAGGCAAGACUGGACCAGGGGCACCAAAUAAUAAAGCCAACCUGGUGCAGCA